Molecule: non-coding RNA, 661 nt
Organism: Paramuricea clavata
Lineage: Eukaryota; Metazoa; Cnidaria; Anthozoa; Malacalcyonacea; Plexauridae
Source: the annotation of a GenBank genome assembly
UAGUCUGUGUAUUCAUGCCUUGUAGAUAACGAAAAAGUACAAAACAAAUAAAUAUCAACCUUUUGAAAGAGUACUUUGUUUGCGUGCGAACAAUUGCGCUGUGGAGUCUGAGAGUGUUAGCGUCAUGCCUCAUUUAUUUAAUAUUUUAUGAUGUGGCCGGAGCCGGAGCUCAGAGCUGUAAUUCGGCCGGAGCCGGAGAUGAAAAACCGGAGUUUGCACAGCACUAGCUCCCAACUUCCGUUUCAUGCAUGGUUCACUAGCUAUUAACCUUGUUUAACCAACUUAAUAGAGAAUAUAAUCUUCGAAGUAAUGAUACUGAUCAAUCUAGCACUUCCAAAACCUAAAACAAACUAUCUUAAGGUGGCUCCCUAGGGUUUUUUAAUUUACUACAUUAUAGUAUUCAGGAGACUCUUGUUUCUUUACUUUACAAGAUAUGAAGACGAAAUUUAUUGGACACAUUGCCAAUGUUCUCCUGAACAUUGCAAAUUGCUACUUUUGUGUUAAAAAUAUGUUGUCAUGGCAACAGCAUGCUUAGAAUAAAGCUCAAAAUUUGUCCUUUUCAGGUCAUUUUAAAAAGUUCCUUCGGUGAAAUUUUUUAAAACUUUGCACAAAAGAUAAUACUUGUAUAGUGAAUUUUUCCCCUCAAUUUAAAAAAAUUAAA